Non-coding RNA from Camelus ferus (Wild Bactrian camel), 46 nucleotides. The record is from Rfam. Lineage: Eukaryota; Metazoa; Chordata; Mammalia; Artiodactyla; Camelidae.
CCAAAGGCUCUUUUCAGAGCCAUCCAUGUUUUCACAUUUGAGAGCU